RNAcentral lists this ribosomal RNA (253 nucleotides) under uncultured bacterium. RNAcentral describes it as "partial 16S ribosomal RNA". It matches the Rfam family "Bacterial small subunit ribosomal RNA", at positions 524 to 776 of the family's 1533-position model. The record is from RNAcentral.
UACGUAGGGUGCAAGCGUUGUCCGGAAUUAUUGGGCGUAAAGAGCUCGUAGGCGGUCUGUCACGUCGGCUGUGAAAACCCGAGGCUCAACCCCGAGCCUGCAGUCGAUACGGGCAGACUAGAGUGCUGUAGGGGAGACUGGAAUUCCUGGUGUAGCGGUGAAAUGCGCAGAUAUCAGGAGGAACACCGGUGGCGAAGGCGGGUCUCUGGGCAGUAACUGACGCUGAGGAGCGAAAGCGUGGGGAGCGAACAGG